Daphnia pulex (common water flea) is the source of this 2963-nucleotide RNA transcript. It is a transcript of the gene named angiotensin-converting enzyme-like, with no coding region annotated. The record is from RefSeq and is a predicted model, not a curated record. The transcript is spliced from 15 exons. Lineage: Eukaryota; Metazoa; Arthropoda; Branchiopoda; Diplostraca; Daphniidae.
GAGUUGUGAUGUGUCAUGGCAUUUCUUGGGGACGACAAUAUGUUGAUUUUAGAGAAGAAAAUAUUCCUUUACUGGUGGUCAGUCGCCAGAAUGCGUUUCACUGCGUUCGUCGUCAUUUGCUGCUGUGCCAGUUUUAAUUAUGCCCGUCAUCUCAAGACAGACCAACUGACUGGUGAGUAUGCGGUGCUACGGUCGAAAAGGUCAAUCGUGGAAGACGAAGCCCUUGCUAGGGAGUACCUGUCAGCCCACAAUGUAAAAUCUUCCGAAAUGUGUUACAAGACUAACGUUGCGGAGUGGAGAUUCGCUUCGGACAUCACCGACGAGAACGAACGACUCAAAUUGGAGCAAAGUUUAGUUGCCGCUCGUUUUGAGAAAGAAGCUUGGAAGAAUAUAACCAGUUUCAAUUGGAAACCGUUCACUGACCCCGAUUUGAAACGCAAAUUUAAACUCUUAUCCGUUUUGGGUCCUUCUGCCCUCCCAGAGGGUAAACUAACGCAGUACCGCAAAACAAUUGACGCCAUGGAGAAGAUUUACAGCACGGCCAAAAUCUGUUCCUUCACCAAUCCGGGCGAUUGCGGAAUGAAUCUCGAUCCUGAAAUUACGGAGAAAAUGAGCAAAAGUCGUAACUUUGACGAGUUGAAACAUGUUUGGCAGCAGUGGCACGAACAGAGUGGCGGUAAAAUGCGGCAUCAUUACGAAAAAUUCGUCGAACUCAGCAACGAAGCCGCUCGAAUGAAUAAUUUCAGCGACACGGGAGCUUAUUGGCUACAGAAUUAUGAGUCGGACACAUUCAAGGAAGAUAUCGAGGGGCUGUGGCAGACCAUCAGACCGUUUUACCUUCAACUUCACGCCUACGUCCGGGCCAAACUCCGAGCUCAUUACGGAGAAGACAAGGUCCCCAAAAAUCAACCCAUACCCGCACAUCUUCUGGGCAAUAUGUGGGCCCAAUCAUGGGGGAAUAUCGACGACUUGGUUACGCCAUAUCCAGGGAAAACUUCCAUUGAUGUCACUCCUGAGAUGUUGAAGCAAGGUUACACCCCAAAGAAAAUGUUUGAAAUGUCGGAAGAAUUCUUCACCUCGAUGGGUUUGCUGCCGACUCCGCCCGAAUUUUGGAGCGGAUCCAUCAUCGAGAAACUGGUGGGUAAGGAAAUGGUGUGUCACGCUUCUGCUUGGGACUUUUGCAACGGCAAGGAUUUCAGGAUCAAGCAAUGCACCAAGGUCACCAUGGAGGACUUUAUUGUCGUCCAUCACGAAAUGGGACACAUCCAGUACUUUUUACAGUACAAAAAUCUUCCGCUAGUCUACAGGGACGGAGCCAAUUCUGGUUUUCACGAAGCUGUAGGCGAUUCUCUAGCCCUCUCUGUCCAGACCACCAAACAUCUUAAGGAAAUCGGAUUAUUAGACAAAUCAACACCCCAAGAUCAGGAAGCGACCAUCAAUUACCUAUUGGCGACAGCUUUGGAAAAAAUCGCCUUUUUCCCAUUUGCGUACAUCAUGGACAAGUGGCGCUGGGAUGUGUUUGACGGGUCCGUUAAAUCGACCGAUUACAAUGGUCAUUGGUGGAAGCUUCGUGAGAAGUACCAAGGCAUCCGAUCGCCAGUAACAAGAUCCGAAAAUGAUUUCGAUCCCGGAGCAAAAUAUCAUAUUGCAGCCAACGUCGAGUACAUUAGGUAUUUUGUGAGCUUCGUUAUCCAGUUCCAGUUUUACAAAUCCCUGUGCACGACAGCCGGACAAUAUGAUCCGCACAAUCCAUCCCAACCACUUCACGAGUGCGACUUUUACAGGAACAAAGAAGCAGGAGCCAAAUUAGGAACGAUGUUGGCUAUGGGAGCUUCCCGACCUUGGCCAGAAGCGAUGCGAGCCGUCACGGGACAAGAUCGCAUGGACGCCAGCGCUUUCCGUGAAUAUUUUAAGCCCCUGGAGGUGUGGCUGAUAGCCAAGAACAAGGAACUUGGCGAACCUGUCGGAUGGGAUUCAGAUCAGUAAUAUUUGGUAAUGGAAACUGAGUUGAAAAUGUUACCCCAAAAAUCCGUUAACUGUUCACCUCAAUUGCAUUGACGUAUUAAGUAUUUAGCGUCACAUUUUGCAAAAUUUGAAGUGACCUAAUGUAAUUAAGUUUGUGUUACCAGAAUGUAUCAAUCGAAAAAGCAAACGGGCUUUAUUAUGAUGCUGGAAUAGAUUUUUCUUUGACAGGAUUUCUGUAUUGGAUUGUAAUGGAACUUUGUGUGGACAUCUGAACUUUGAAUUGGAGUGUCAUCCAAAUAAUAGACAGGUAGUUAUCGUUAUCUUCAGCUAAUAUUCUUGCUUAAUUACCUAAAAAGGCAAGAGGUAUGAGGUCCUAACGUGGGACUUAUUCUUCGGCGCUGAGCACCUGCGAUCGGUAUCCUCCCGCGUUUUCAGAUCUCAAAUGACGCAAGUUGCUCUUGAUAAGGAAACGACAAAUGCCGCCGAUGAGUCAUGAAACAGGUUAGGCUUCAUUCACUCACAUUUGUUUUUCACAAUUUCACGUUCCCUCUCACUUUGUGACUUUGCUGCUUAUUUCAUUUAAUAACUUCUAACUAUCUAGUAUCUACCUAUAUCUAUUGAGCUUAUGGGAUGUGCUCUUUUGUUUACAAUUCUGAAUUAACUGUCAAACUGCCGACUGUUAUUUGCAGCAACUAAAGAAAGUGCUCUGCUCAAAAUAGGAAUCCUUCUGACGUUGGCCUGUGUUUCAUCAAGGGCUAAAAGAUAAAACAUGUAGUAGAUGCUGUGCUACGCAAUGUCCCGAAAAUUUAAUCGCAAUCCUCAGAGUUACUUGUAGUUCAGUUAAGAAUCCUUUGAUGAAGCUAGCGCAGCGAAUACAGCCCCUUCUUCGAUUCGAAUCUUCACAGUGUGUACCUUGAAUACGAAACAGCAGGUACUUAGUUGCCAAUCACCAUCAAAUCCCAAUGCAAUGCAAUUCACAAUAACAGUAGCCGUUGUUU